RNAcentral lists this ribosomal RNA (329 nucleotides) under uncultured eukaryote. Its description in RNAcentral is "partial 18S ribosomal RNA". It matches the Rfam family "Eukaryotic small subunit ribosomal RNA", at positions 1470 to 1796 of the family's 1831-position model. The record is from RNAcentral.
CCCUUAGAUGUCCUGGGCCGCACGCGCGCUACACUGAGUGUCUGAGAUACGAGUCUGCCUGGUCCGGCAAGGUCUAGGUAAUCGCUAAAAGACACAUCAUGCUUGGGAUAGAUUAUUGCAAAUAUUAAUCUUGAACGAGGAAUUCCUAGUAAGCGCAAGUCAACAGCUUGCGUUGAUUACGUCCCUGCCCUUUGUACACACCGCCCGUCGCUACUACUGAUUGGAUGUUUAAGCGAGGUUCUCGAACUGCUAGCGACUUAGCUUCGGUGAGGUCGCAGUGUGGGAAGUGAACCUAGCUUUGGUGUCUAGAGGAAGUAAAAGUCGUAACC